RNAcentral lists this long non-coding RNA (293 nucleotides) under Daucus carota (carrot). RNAcentral's name for it is "long non-coding RNA (DCAR_LNC006780)". The record is from RNAcentral. Lineage: Eukaryota; Viridiplantae; Streptophyta; Magnoliopsida; Apiales; Apiaceae.
CUUUCUCCUUGCUUCUUUCCUUCUAACUCGAAAAGUGCGCUCAAUUUCUGGAUCUGGUUCGAAAUUUCCAACACUUUUCGAUCUUCGCAUAUAUAUGGUGCACCUGAAACGAAACACCAAUGAGAUAGAUCUUGAAAACAAAUUUAAUAAAAUCUAAACAAGAAGAAAUUCAAAGAAGAGCAUGUUGUUAAGCUAAGCACACACGCACAAUCUGUACUUGUGUUCACUAAGCAGUUCUAUUACGGUGUGAGCUUGAUAUUUCUAAACUUGUUGCAUAUUCUGAUGAUUAUCAC